UGAGGCAAUGGUUAAAAGAAAUAGUCGCGGCGGCAUCAGUACUGCAUCGUGAGAGGUGAAAUUCUUAGACCGAUGCAAGACUAACUGAAGCGAAAGCGUUUGCCGAGGAUAUUUCAUUAAUCAAGAACGAAAGUUAGAGGUUCGAAGGCGAUCAGAUACCGCCCUAGUUCUAACCAUAAACGUUGCCAACUAGCAAUUGGAUUGCGAUUCCUUUAAUUGGAGCCUAAAAAAACUCCAAUCAUUAUGAUCCAUCCAGCG
This 258-nucleotide ribosomal RNA is filed under the name uncultured eukaryote. RNAcentral's name for it is "partial 18S ribosomal RNA". It matches the Rfam family "Eukaryotic small subunit ribosomal RNA", at positions 858 to 1085 of the family's 1831-position model. The record is from RNAcentral.